Molecule: ribosomal RNA, 441 nt
Filed under: uncultured bacterium
Lineage: Bacteria
Description: partial 16S ribosomal RNA
Rfam family: Bacterial small subunit ribosomal RNA
Source: RNAcentral
CCUACGGGUGGCUGCAGUGGGGAAUAUUGCACAAUGGGGGGAACCCUGAUGCAGCGACGCCGCGUGGGUGAAGGAGUAUUUCGGUAUGUAAAGCCCUAUCAGCAGGGAAGAACAAUGACGGUACCUGACUAAGCCGCACCGGCUAAAUACGUGCCAGCAGCCGCGGUAAUACGAAGUGUGCACGCGUGAGCCGGAUUUACUGGGUGUAAAGGGAGCGCAGGCGGCGCGUUCAGCCUGGUGUGAAAGUCCGCGGCCCAACCGCGGGACUGCAUUGGGAACUGGCGCGCUGGAGUGCCGGAGGGGUAGGCGGAAUUCCUAGUGUAGCGGUGAAAUGCGUAGAUAUGAGGAGGAACACCAGUGGCGAAGGCGGCCUACUGGACGGUGACUGACGCUGUGUCUCGAAAGCGUGGGGAGCAAACAGGAUUAGAUACCCGUGUAGUC